GCUCACGCUCCACUGCAUCGAGCUGCUACGUGUUCUAGUUCAGCCAUAACCCGGUACAUAUGGGCCUAGUGCAGUGUUUGUGUUUUUAUGUCGGCGGUGUCAUCCGAGUCCGACCACUUGUUCAGCUAGGGAGAGCGCUCGGUGGAUCGACAUGGCUAAGCGUGGAGAAGAGGGAUUGUUUCAAGGUCCAGGGCCUUCAAGUGGAGGUGAGUUCUCGGACCUUCCUCUUAGCAUGGAGAAGGCGUGCAAGCACUUUGGCAGUCAUGAAGGUACGACCGCCGAGAGCUCGUUCUGGCUGCAGUUCUAGGACCCUUCUCAGCCCUAGCUGCUCGGCAACCAACUCAAGAAAAUGGCCGAGCUGCACCGUCUGGCCAGGCAUGUCACGGGGACCUUUGUGUGGGCUUAUGGCCGGGUGCGCCGCUGCCGACCAACUUUCUUGGCCUGGCGCAGCGGCUGCAAGGAGUUGUUCCUUAGUUUGGACCGUGGAAACGCCCGGCGUGCUUGGAGGGUGCACGAGAGGCGUAUGUGGCUGCGAAGACGCAUUGGCUGGCCAUGCAGAUGAAGCAGAUGGCGCAUCGUGGUCCAGAAGGAAAGAACCGACAGGCUCACUGCACGAGUGUCCGAGGCCAAAUGCACGAAGGACAAGAUCCUAGACGGUCUCUAGUGAUCGUCUGUAUUCAUUUUCCUCGGUAUAUGUCGAAAUGCUCCCUUUGUAAGACAUAUUAUUAAUGCUUGUUACUAGGGCGUAUCCAUUGUGCAGUAACAAUUUGUCUUCUAAGGCCUUGUACAAUGGAAGGUGCUUAGAGAGAUGCUUAGAAAAAUAAACC
Molecule: ribosomal RNA, 827 nt
Filed under: Triticum aestivum (bread wheat)
Lineage: Eukaryota; Viridiplantae; Streptophyta; Magnoliopsida; Poales; Poaceae
Description: partial small subunit ribosomal RNA
Source: RNAcentral